CCUACGGGAGGCUGCAGUGAGGAAUAUUGGUCAAUGGACGAGAGUCUGAACCAGCCACGUAGCGUGAAGGAUGACUGCCCUAUGGGUUGUAACCUUCUUUUAUAUGGGAAUAAAAUGUUCCACGUGUGGGAUUUUGUAUGUACCAUAUGAAUAAGGAUCGGCUAACUCCGUGCCAGUAGCCGCGGUAAUACGGAGGAGCCGAGCGUUAUCCGGAUUUAUUGGGUGUAAGGGGAGCGUAGGUGGAUUGUUAAGUCAGUUGUGAAAGUUUGGGGCUCAACCGUAAAAUUGCAGUUGAAACUGGCAGUCUUGAGUACAGGAGAGGUGGGCGGAAUUCGUGGUGUAGCGGUGAAAUGCUUAGAUAUCACGAAGAACACCGAUUGCGAAGGCAGCUCACUGGACUGCAACUGACACUGAGGCUCGAAAGUGUGGGGAUCAAACAGGAUUAGAUACCCCUGUAGUC
This 460-nucleotide ribosomal RNA is filed under the name uncultured bacterium. RNAcentral describes it as "partial 16S ribosomal RNA". It matches the Rfam family "Bacterial small subunit ribosomal RNA", at positions 338 to 795 of the family's 1533-position model. The record is from RNAcentral.